GAUGAACGCUGGCGGCGUGCCUAAUACAUGCAAGUCGAGCGAACAGAUGAGGAGCUUGCUCCUCUGACGUUAGCGGCGGACGGGUGAGUAACACGUGGAUAACCUACCUAUAAGACUGGGAUAACUUCGGGAAACCGGAGCUAAUACCGGAUAAUAUAUUGAACCGCAUGGUUCAAUAGUGAAAGACGGUUUUGCUGUCACUUAUAGAUGGAUCCGCGCCGCAUUAGCUAGUUGGUAAGGUAACGGCUUACCAAGGCAACGAUGCGUAGCCGACCUGAGAGGGGGAUCGGCCACACUGGAACUGAGACACGGUCCAGACUCCUACGGGAGGCAGCAGUAGGGAAUAUUCCGCAAUGGGCGAAAGCUUGACGGAGCAACGCCGCGUGAGUGAUGAAGGUCUUCGGAUCGUAAAACUCUGUUAUUAGGGAAGAACAAAUGUGUAAGUAACUAUGCACGUCUUGACGGUACCUAAUCAGAAAGCCACGGCUAACUACGUG
RNAcentral lists this ribosomal RNA (497 nucleotides) under uncultured bacterium. RNAcentral describes it as "partial 16S ribosomal RNA". It matches the Rfam family "Bacterial small subunit ribosomal RNA", at positions 28 to 507 of the family's 1533-position model. The record is from RNAcentral.